GAGUUUGAUCCUGGCUCAGAUUGAACGCUGGCGGCAGGCCUAACACAUGCAAGUCGAACGGUAACAGAAAGCAGCUUGCUGCUUUGCUGACGAGUGGCGGACGGGUGAGUAAUGUCUGGGAAACUGCCUGAUGGAGGGGGAUAACUACUGGAAACGGUAGCUAAUACCGCAUAACGUCGCAAGACCAAAGAGGGGGACCUUCGGGCCUCUUGCCAUCGGAUGUGCCCAGAUGGGAUUAGCUUGUUGGUGGGGUAACGGCUCACCAAGGCGACGAUCUCUAGCUGGUCUGAGAGGAUGACCAGCCACACUGGAACUGAGACACGGUCCAGACUCCUACGGGAGGCAGCAGUGGGGAAUAUUGCACAAUGGGCGCAAGCCUGAUGCAGCCAUGCCGCGUGUAUGAAGAAGGCCUUCGGGUUGUAAAGUACUUUCAGCGGGGAGGAAGGGAGUAAAGUUAAUACCUUUGCUCAUUGACGUUACCCGCA
Molecule: ribosomal RNA, 485 nt
Filed under: uncultured bacterium
Lineage: Bacteria
Description: bacterial SSU rRNA
Rfam family: Bacterial small subunit ribosomal RNA
Source: RNAcentral